AGUGAACGCUGGCGGUAGGCCUAACACAUGCAAGUCGAACGGCAGCACAGUAAGAGCUUGCUCUUACGGGUGGCGAGUGGCGGACGGGUGAGGAAUACAUCGGAAUCUACUUUUUCGUGGGGGAUAACGUAGGGAAACUUACGCUAAUACCGCAUACGACCUACGAGUGAAAGCAGGGGAUCUUCGGACCUUGCGCGAUUGAAUGAGCCGAUGUCGGAUUAGCUAGUUGGCGGGGUAAAGGCCCACCAAGGCGACGAUCCGUAGCUGGUCUGAGAGGAUGAUCAGCCACACUGGAACUGAGACACGGUCCAGACUCCUACGGGAGGCAGCAGUGGGGAAUAUUGGACAAUGGGCGCAAGCCUGAUCCAGCCAUACCGCGUGGGUGAAGAAGGCCUUCGGGUUGUAAAGCCCUUUUGCUGGGAAAGAAAAGCAGCAGGUUAAUACCCCGCUGUUCUGACGGUACCCAAAGAAUAAGCACCGGCUAACUUCGUG
Molecule: ribosomal RNA, 492 nt
Filed under: uncultured bacterium
Lineage: Bacteria
Description: partial 16S ribosomal RNA
Rfam family: Bacterial small subunit ribosomal RNA
Source: RNAcentral